CGGCCGACCUCCGGCGAGGUUUCCGGCGAAGUUUCCGGCCGACCUCCGACGAGAUUUCCGACUGACCUCCGGCGAGGUUUCCGGCCGACCUCCGACGAUGACAAAAAUUACUACUACCAGCUAAAAAACUACUACCACCAGCUAUAAAAGCUACUACCACCACCUACAAAAGCUACUACAAAAGUUUCCGGCCAACCUCCGGCGAGAUUUCCGACCGACCUCCUGCGAGGUUUCCGGCCGACCUCCGACGAUGACAAAAAUUACUACUACAAGCUAAAAAAGCUACUACCACCAGCUAUAAAAGCUACUACCACCGCCUACAAAAGCUACUACUGUGAGGUUUUCGACGAACACAAAAGCUACUACCACUAGC
Molecule: long non-coding RNA, 373 nt
Filed under: Fragaria vesca (wild strawberry)
Lineage: Eukaryota; Viridiplantae; Streptophyta; Magnoliopsida; Rosales; Rosaceae
Description: long non-coding RNA (FVES_LNC003518)
Source: RNAcentral